RNAcentral lists this transfer RNA (63 nucleotides) under Nebria fulviventris. Its description in RNAcentral is "tRNA-Leu". RNAcentral also lists the same sequence under 1 other name. Lineage: Eukaryota; Metazoa; Arthropoda; Insecta; Coleoptera; Carabidae. The record is from RNAcentral.
UUAUUUUGGCAGAUUAGUGCAAUGAAUUUAGAAUUCAUAUAUAAAAUUUUAUUUUAAAUAAUA